CGCCCUGCAGGGCUGGCUGAGCUCUCCCCCACUGCUCACGUCACUAGACUCCGCCUCCCGGAUUUUAUAACAACUGACACAUUGUAGCCUACAGGAGAGCAGAACUCACUGCAAGCAAAAAGGGGAAGAAACGCUCACAAAAGGGAAGGCAGCAGGAAAAGUAAUCGGGUUGAGCUGUGGAAAUGUGUUCUUCAACGUUGGAGGUGGGAUCUGGUGGGCAGUGUUUGGAUCAUGGGGAUGGAUCCCUCAGGAAUGGCUUGGUGUCCACCCCACGGUAAUGGGUUCACAAGAGAUCUGGUUGAUGAAGAGUCUGGGACCUCGCUCCUCUUCCUUGCUUCCUCACUCACCAUGUGAUAUGCCUGCACCUUCCACCAUGAUUGGAAGCUUCCUGAGGCCUCAUCAGAAGCCAAGCAGAUGCUGGUGUUAUGCUGGUAUAGCCUGCAGAACCAUGAGCCAAAUAAAACUUUUUUUUUUCUCAAGAUGGGGGUCUCACCAUGUUGGGCAGGCUGGUCUCAAGCAAUUCUCCCACCUCAGCCUCCCGAAGUACUGGGAUUGCAGAGUGAGCCACCACACCCAACCAAAUAAAACUUUUUUCUUUAAUUACCCAGCCCCAGGUAUUCCUUUACAGCAAUGCAAAAUGGACUAAUACAGGGCCCAGCCAAGCCAGACCUAGGACUAGAGCUUGGUCUCCACAGAUACCCAGAUUGGGAAAAGGAAGAGAGGAAAAAAAAGAGGAAAAGGUCUGUGUCCCCUGAAAAAUCCAUCACCACACACAAUAAACCCACAUCAUCUGGAAUCUUCUAUCCCCAAGAAGAUGUGGGUGUGACCUGGGCAGGCCCCCAGCACCAGGUCCUCACCCUUCCAGUCCUCCCCACAGCCCACCCCAGCCCUCCCGCUGCCCUCCUGUGACUCCUCCUCUGUGAGCCCACUUUUUCCUUGCUGUCUGAGAACCAACUGCUAUUCCCAAUGUUUACCCUUCACAUGGUAGUAACAGAAACCAGAUUUGUC
RNAcentral lists this long non-coding RNA (1008 nucleotides) under Homo sapiens (human). Its description in RNAcentral is "HSALNT0310245". The record is from RNAcentral. Lineage: Eukaryota; Metazoa; Chordata; Mammalia; Primates; Hominidae.